UACGUAGGGUGCAAGCGUUAAUCGGAAUUACUGGGCGUAAAGCGUGCGCAGGCGGUGAUGUAAGACAGAUGUGAAAUCCCCGGGCUCAACCUGGGAACUGCAUUUGUGACUGCAUAGCUAGAGUACGGUAGAGGGGGAUGGAAUUCCGCGUGUAGCAGUGAAAUGCGUAGAUAUGCGGAGGAACACCGAUGGCGAAGGCAGUCCCCUGGACCUGUACUGACGCUCAUGCACGAAAGCGUGGGGAGCAAACAGG
This 253-nucleotide ribosomal RNA is filed under the name uncultured bacterium. RNAcentral's name for it is "partial 16S ribosomal RNA". It matches the Rfam family "Bacterial small subunit ribosomal RNA", at positions 524 to 776 of the family's 1533-position model. The record is from RNAcentral.